UACGUAGGGGGCAAGCGUUGUCCGGAAUCAUUGGGCGUAAAGCGCGUGUAGGCGGUUUCGUAAGUCUGCUGUGAAAGUCGGAGGCUCAACCUUCGAAAGCCGGUGGAUACUGUGAGACUUGGGUACGGAAGAGGAGAGUGGAAUUCCUGGUGUAACGGUGAAAUGCGCAGAUAUCAGGAGGAACACCAACGGCGAAGGCAGCUCUCUGGGACGUUACUGACGCUGAGACGCGAAAGCGUGGGGAGCAAACAGG
Molecule: ribosomal RNA, 253 nt
Filed under: uncultured bacterium
Lineage: Bacteria
Description: partial 16S ribosomal RNA
Rfam family: Bacterial small subunit ribosomal RNA
Source: RNAcentral